RNAcentral lists this ribosomal RNA (487 nucleotides) under uncultured bacterium. Its description in RNAcentral is "bacterial SSU rRNA". It matches the Rfam family "Bacterial small subunit ribosomal RNA", at positions 334 to 836 of the family's 1533-position model. RNAcentral also lists the same sequence under 1 other name. The record is from RNAcentral.
UUGGCCUACGGGGGGCAGCAGUAGGGAAUAUUGCACAAUCGACGAAAGUCUGAUGCAGCAACGCCGCGUGUGCGAUGAAGGCCUUCGGGUUGUAAAGCACUUUUCUGAGGGAAGAGAAAGGACGGUACCUCAGGAAUAAGUCUCGGCUAACCACGUGCCAGCAGCCGCGGUAAUACGUAGGAGGCAAGCGUUAUCCGGAUUUAUUGGGCGUAAAGCGCGUGCAGGUGGUUUGGUAAGUUGGGUAUGAAAUCUCCUGGCUUAACUAGGAGAGGUCGCUCAAAACUACCAGACUAGAGGACGGUAGAGGAAGGUGGAAUUCCCGGUGUAGUAGUGAAAUGCGUAGAUAUCGGGAGGAACACCAGUGGCGAAGGCGGCCUUCUGGGCCGUUCCUGACACUAAGACGCGAAAGCAUGGGUAGCAAACGGGAUUAGAAACCCCGGUAGUCCAUGCCGUAAACGAUGUGAACUUGAUGUCGGUGGCGUAAUAG